RNAcentral lists this non-coding RNA (78 nucleotides) under Vibrio alginolyticus. Its description in RNAcentral is "partial 16S ribosomal RNA". It matches the Rfam family "Bacterial small subunit ribosomal RNA", at positions 1 to 78 of the family's 1533-position model. Lineage: Bacteria; Pseudomonadati; Pseudomonadota; Gammaproteobacteria; Vibrionales; Vibrionaceae. The record is from RNAcentral. RNAcentral also lists the same sequence under 8 other names.
AAAUUGAAGAGUUUGAUCAUGGCUCAGAUUGAACGCUGGCGGCAGGCCUAACACAUGCAAGUCGAGCGGAAACGAGUU